GAUGAACGCUGGCGGCGUGCCUAAUACAUGCAAGUCGAGCGAACGGACGAGAAGCUUGCUUUUCUGAUGUUAGCGGCGGACGGGUGAGUAACACGUGGAUAACCUACCUAUAAGACUGGGAUAACUUCGGGAAACCGGAGCUAAUACCGGAUAAUAUUUUGAACCGCAUGGUUCAAAAGUGAAAGACGGUCUUGCUGUCACUUAUAGAUGGAUCCGCGCUGCAUUAGCUAGUUGGUAAGGUAACGGCUUACCAAGGCAACGAUGCAUAGCCGACCUGAGAGGGUGAUCGGCCACACUGGAACUGAGACACGGUCCAGACUCCUACGGGAGGCAGCAGUAGGGAAUCUUCCGCAAUGGGCGAAAGCCUGACGGAGCAACGCCGCGGGAGUGAUGAAGGUCUUCGGAUCGUAAAACUCUGUUAUUAGGGAAGAACAUAUGUGUAAGUAACUGUGCACAUCUUGACGGUACCUAAUCAGAAAACCACGGCUAACUACGU
RNAcentral lists this ribosomal RNA (496 nucleotides) under uncultured bacterium. Its description in RNAcentral is "partial 16S ribosomal RNA". It matches the Rfam family "Bacterial small subunit ribosomal RNA", at positions 28 to 506 of the family's 1533-position model. The record is from RNAcentral.